RNAcentral lists this ribosomal RNA (253 nucleotides) under uncultured bacterium. Its description in RNAcentral is "partial 16S ribosomal RNA". It matches the Rfam family "Bacterial small subunit ribosomal RNA", at positions 524 to 776 of the family's 1533-position model. The record is from RNAcentral.
CACGUAGGGCGCAAGCGUUGUCCGGAAUUAUUGGGCGUAAAGAGCUCGUAGGCGGUCUGUUGCGUCUGCUGUGAAAACCCGGGGCUUAACCCCUGGCUUGCAGUGGAUACGGACAGACUAGAGGUAGGUAGGGGAGAAUGGAAUUCCCGGUGUAGUGGUGAAAUGCGCAGAUAUCAGGAGGAACACCAAUGGCGAAGGCAGCUCGCUGGGACGUGACUGACGCUGAGACGCGAAAGCGUGGGGAGCAAACAGG